UACGAAGGGGGCUAGCGUUGCUCGGAAUUACUGGGCGUAAAGGGCGCGUAGGCGGAUAGUUUAGUCAGAGGUAAAAGCCCAGGGCUCAACCUUGGAACUGCCUUUGAUACUGGCUAUCUUGAGUUCGGGAGAGGUGAGUGGAAUGCCGAGUGUAGAGGUGAAAUUCGUAGAUAUUCGGCGGAACACCAGUGGCGAAGGCGACUCACUGGCCCGGCAUUGACGCUAAAGCGCGAAAGCCAGGGGAGCAAACGGG
RNAcentral lists this ribosomal RNA (253 nucleotides) under uncultured bacterium. RNAcentral's name for it is "partial 16S ribosomal RNA". It matches the Rfam family "Bacterial small subunit ribosomal RNA", at positions 524 to 776 of the family's 1533-position model. The record is from RNAcentral.